This 253-nucleotide ribosomal RNA is filed under the name uncultured bacterium. RNAcentral's name for it is "partial 16S ribosomal RNA". It matches the Rfam family "Bacterial small subunit ribosomal RNA", at positions 524 to 776 of the family's 1533-position model. The record is from RNAcentral.
UACGAAGGGGGCUAGCGUUGUUCGGAAUUACUGGGCGUAAAGCGUACGUAGGCGGCGCAGCAAGUUGGGGGUGAAAUCCCGAGGCUCAACCUCGGAAUUGCCUUCAAAACUGCUGUGCUCGAGUUCGGAAGAGGUGAGUGGAAUUCCCAGUGUAGAGGUGAAAUUCGUAGAGAUUGGGAAGAACACCAGUGGCGAAGGCGGCUCACUGGUCCGCAACUGACGCUGAGGUGCGAAAGCGUGGGGAGCAAACAGG